RNAcentral lists this ribosomal RNA (497 nucleotides) under uncultured bacterium. Its description in RNAcentral is "partial 16S ribosomal RNA". It matches the Rfam family "Bacterial small subunit ribosomal RNA", at positions 28 to 507 of the family's 1533-position model. The record is from RNAcentral.
GACGAACGCUGGCGGCGUGCCUAAUACAUGCAAGUUGAGCGCUGAAGGUUGGUACUUGUACCAACUGGAUGAGCAGCGAACGGGUGAGUAACGCGUGGGGAAUCUGCCUUUGAGCGGGGGACAACAUUUGGAAACGAAUGCUAAUACCGCAUAAAAACUUUAAACACAAGUUUUAAGUUUGAAAGAUGCAAUUGCAUCACUCAAAGAUGAUCCCGCGUUGUAUUAGCUAGUUGGUGAGGUAAAGGCUCACCAAGGCGAUGAUACAUAGCCGACCUGAGAGGGUGAUCCGCCAAAUUGGGAAUGAGAAACGGCCCAAAAUCCUAAGGGAGGCAGCAGUAGGGAAUCUUCGGCAAUGGACGAAAGUCUGACCGAGGAACGCCGGGUGAGGGAAGAAGGGUUUCGGAUCGUAAAACUCUGUUGGUAGAGAAGAAAGUUGGGGAGAGUGGAAAGCUCAUCAAGUGACGGUAACUACCCAGAAAGGGACGGCUAACUACGUG